AUUGAACGCUGGCGGCAGGCCUAACACAUGCAAGUCGAACGAGUGGCGGACGGGUGAGUAAUGUCUGGGAAACUGCCCGAUGGAGGGGGAUAACUACUGGAAACGGUAGCUAAUACCGCAUACCAUCGGAUUUGCCCAGAUGGGAUUAGCUAGUGGGUGGGGUAACGGCUCACCUGGGCGACGAUCCCUAGCUGGUCUGAGAGGAUGACCAGCCAAACUGGAAUGGGGACACGGUCCAGACUCCUCCGGGAGGCGGCAGUGGGGAAUAUUGGACAAGGGGGGCAAGCCGGCUGCGGCCAUGCCGCGUGUAUGAAGAAGGCCUUCGGUUUGUAAAGUAUUUUCAGCGAGGAGGCGGUACUCGCAGAAGAAGCACCGGCUAACUACGUGCCAGCAGCCGCGGUAAUUC
Molecule: ribosomal RNA, 406 nt
Filed under: uncultured bacterium
Lineage: Bacteria
Description: partial 16S ribosomal RNA
Rfam family: Bacterial small subunit ribosomal RNA
Source: RNAcentral